GACGAACGCUGGCGGCGUGCUUAACACAUGCAAGUCGAACGGAAAGGCCCGGCUUUUGUGGGUUGCUCGAGUGGCGAACAGGUGAGUAACACGCGAGUAACCUCCCCUUGACUUUGGGAUAACUUCUGGAGACUCGGGCUAAUACCGGAUAGGAGCUCCUGCUGCACGUUGGUGGUUGGAAAGUUUCGGUGGUUGGGGAUGGUCUCGCAGGUUAUCGGCUUGUUGGUGGGGUAGUGGCUUACAAAGGUUUUGACGGGUAGCCUGCCUGAGAGGGUGACCGGCCACAUUGGGACUGCGGUACGGCCCAGACGGCUACGGGAGGCAGCAGGGGGGAAUAUUGCAGAAUGGGCGGAAGCGAGAUGCAGAAACGCCGCGUGCGGGAUGACGGGCUUCGGGUUGUAAACCACUUUCGCCUGUGACGAAGAGUGAGUGACGGUAAUGGGUAAGGAAGCAACGGCUAACUACGUG
This 468-nucleotide ribosomal RNA is filed under the name uncultured bacterium. Its description in RNAcentral is "partial 16S ribosomal RNA". It matches the Rfam family "Bacterial small subunit ribosomal RNA", at positions 28 to 507 of the family's 1533-position model. The record is from RNAcentral.